Molecule: ribosomal RNA, 492 nt
Filed under: uncultured bacterium
Lineage: Bacteria
Description: partial 16S ribosomal RNA
Rfam family: Bacterial small subunit ribosomal RNA
Source: RNAcentral
AGUGAACGCUGGCGGUAGGCCUAACACAUGCAAGUCGAACGGCAGCACAGUAAGAGCUUGCUCUUACGGGUGGCGAGUGGCGGACGGGUGAGGAAUACAUCGGAAUCUACUCUUUCGUGGGGGAUAACGUAGGGAAACUUACGCUAAUACCGCAUAUGUCCUACGGGUGAGAGCAGGGGAUCUUCGGACCUUGCGCGAUUGAAUGAGCCGAUGUCGGAUUAGCUAGUUGGCGGGGUAAAGGCCCACCAAGGCGACGAUCCGUAGCUGGUCUGAGAGGAUGAUCAGCCACACUGGAACUGAGACACGGUCCAGACUCCUACGGGAGGCAGCAGUGGGGAAUAUUGGACAAUGGGCGCAAGCCUGAUCCAGCCAUACCGCGUGAGUGAAGAAGGCCUUCGGGUUGUAAAGUCCUUUUGUUGGGAAAGAAAAGCAGCAGGUUAAUCCCCCGCUGUUCUGACGGUACCCAAAGAAUAAGCACCGGCUAACUUCGUG